GAGCUUGCUCUUAUGAAGUUAGCGGCGGACGGGUGAGUAACACGUGGGUAACCUGCCCAUAAGACUGGGAUAACUCCGGGAAACCGGGGCUAAUACCGGAUAACAUUUUGAACCGCAUGGUUCGAAAUUGAAAGGCGGCUUCGGCUGUCACUUAUGGAUGGACCCGCGUCGCAUUAGCUAGUUGGUGAGGUAACGGCUCACCAAGGCAACGAUGCGUAGCCGACCUGAGAGGGUGAUCGGCCACACUGGGACUGAGACACGGCCCAGACUCCUACGGGAGGCAGCAGUAGGGAAUCUUCCGCAAUGGACGAAAGUCUGACGGAGCAACGCCGCGUGAGUGAUGAAGGCUUUCGGGUCGUAAAACUCUGUUGUUAGGGAAGAACAAGUGCUAGUUGAAUAAGCUGGCACCUUGACGGUACCUAACCAGAAAGCCACGGCUAACUACGUGCCAGCAGCCGCGGUAAUACGUAGGUGGCAAGCGUUAUCCGGAAUUAUUGGGCGUAAAGCGCGCGCAGGUGGUUUCUUAAGUCUGAUGUGAAAGCCCACGGCUCAACCGUGGAGGGUCAUUGGAAACUGGGAGACUUGAGUGCAGAAGAGGAAAGUGGAAUUCCAUGUGUAGC
Molecule: ribosomal RNA, 620 nt
Filed under: Bacillus cereus
Lineage: Bacteria; Bacillati; Bacillota; Bacilli; Caryophanales; Bacillaceae
Description: bacterial SSU rRNA
Rfam family: Bacterial small subunit ribosomal RNA
Source: RNAcentral